This 270-nucleotide ribosomal RNA is filed under the name uncultured bacterium. Its description in RNAcentral is "partial 16S ribosomal RNA". It matches the Rfam family "Bacterial small subunit ribosomal RNA", at positions 32 to 310 of the family's 1533-position model. The record is from RNAcentral.
AAUCAACGCUGGCGGCGUGCCUAACACAUGCAAGUCGAGCGAGAAAGUGGUAGCAAUACCAUGAGUACAGCGGCGCACGGGUGAGUAACACGUGACUAACCUACCCUCGAGUGGGGAAUAACUUCGGGAAACCGAGGCUAAUACCGCAUAAUACCCACGGGUCAAAAGAGCAAUCUGCUUGAGGAGGGGGUCGCGGCCGAUUAGUUAGUUGGCGGGGUAAUGGCCCACCAAGACGAUGAUCGGUAUCCGGCCUGAGAGGGCGCACGGACA